RNAcentral lists this ribosomal RNA (266 nucleotides) under uncultured bacterium. RNAcentral describes it as "partial 16S ribosomal RNA". It matches the Rfam family "Bacterial small subunit ribosomal RNA", at positions 335 to 594 of the family's 1533-position model. The record is from RNAcentral.
GUCCUACGGGGGGCAGCAGUGGGGAAUUUUGGACAAUGGGCGCAAGCCUGAUCCAGCUAUUCCGCGUGUGGGAAGACGGCCUUCGGGUUGUAAACCACUUUUGUAGAGAACGAAAAGUCUAUUGAUAAUACCGAUAGACGAUGACGGUACUCUAAGAAUAAGCACCGGCUAACUACGUGCUAGCAGCCGCGGUAAUACGUAGGGUGCGAGCGUUAAUCGGAAUUACUGGGCGUACAGCGCGCGUAGGCUGUUGUGUAAGUUGGGGG